This is a non-coding RNA of Globicephala melas (long-finned pilot whale), 73 nucleotides long. The record is from the annotation of a RefSeq genome assembly. NCBI's taxonomy places the organism in Eukaryota, Metazoa, Chordata, Mammalia, Artiodactyla, Delphinidae.
UCUCUGGUGGCCCAGUGGUUAGGACUCAGCACUUUUACUGCUAAGGGCCUGGGUUCAAUCCCUGGCCAGGGAA